Molecule: ribosomal RNA, 440 nt
Filed under: uncultured bacterium
Lineage: Bacteria
Description: bacterial SSU rRNA
Rfam family: Bacterial small subunit ribosomal RNA
Source: RNAcentral
UAGGGAAUAUUGGACAAUGGGUGAGAGCCUGAUCCAGCCAUGCCGCGUGCAGGAAGAAGGCGUUAUGCGUUGUAAACUUCGAAAGAAUAGGAAGAAUAAAUGACGGUACUAUUUAUAAGGUCCGGCUAACUACGUGCCAGCAGCCGCGGUAAUACGUAGGGACCAAGCGUUGUUCGGAUUCACUGGGCUUAAAGGGUGCGUAGGCAGCUUGUUAAGUAGGGUGUGAAAGCCCCCAGCUCAACUGGGGAACUGCAUUCUAUACUGGUGAGCUAGAGUGAGAUAGGGGUGUGUGGAACUGCCAGUGGAGCGGUGAAAUGUGUUGAUAUUGGCAGGAACGCCGGUGGCGAAAGCGACACACUGGGUCUCAACUGACGCUGAGGCACGAAAGCCAGGGGAGCGAACGGGAUUAGAUACCCUUGUAGUCCCUGAGCGGGCUGGCA